This 648-nucleotide ribosomal RNA is filed under the name uncultured Methanolobus sp. Its description in RNAcentral is "bacterial SSU rRNA". It matches the Rfam family "Archaeal small subunit ribosomal RNA", at positions 288 to 1190 of the family's 1478-position model. Lineage: Archaea; Methanobacteriati; Methanobacteriota; Methanomicrobia; Methanosarcinales; Methanosarcinaceae. The record is from RNAcentral.
GCCCGGAGAUGGACUCUGAAACACGAGUCCAGGCCCUACGGGGCGCAGCAGGCGCGAAAACUUCGCAAUGCAGGAAACUGUGACGAGGGAACUCCAAGUGUCCAUGCAUUGCAUGGACUGUUUGCCAGCCUAAAAAGCUGGUAGAGUAAGGGGUGGGAAAGACCGGUGCCAGCCGCCGCGGUAACACCGGCACCUCAAGUGGUAGCCACUAUUAUUGGGCCUAAAGCGUUCGUAGCCGGCUUGGUUAAUUCCUGGGUAAAUCGUACCGCUCAACGGUGCGGAUUCCGGGGACACUGCCAGGCUUGAGACCGGGGGAGAUCAGAGGUACUUGCGGGGGAGCGGUGAAAUGUUGUAAUCCCGCAGGGACCACCAAUGGCGAAGGCAUCUGAUCAAAACGGCUCUGACGGUGAGGGGACGAAACCCUGGGGCGCAAACGGGAUUAGAUACCCCGGUAGUCCAGGGCGUAAACGCUGCUGACUUGGUUGUUGGGGGGCCCUGCGAGGGCGUCCAGUGCCGGGCACGAAGGUAUUGAGUCAGCCCGCCCUGGGGGAGUACGGUCGCAAGACUGAAACUUAUAGGAAUUGGUCGGGGGGGAGCACCUGCAACGGGUGGAAGCCGUUGCCGGUUUUAAUUUGGGAUUCCAACGCC